Molecule: long non-coding RNA, 3770 nt
Organism: Equus caballus (horse)
Lineage: Eukaryota; Metazoa; Chordata; Mammalia; Perissodactyla; Equidae
Source: Ensembl
UGGAGACUUCAUCAUUUUUUCAUGUAACCUGAAACAGAAUAACAUUGAAAUUAUUUGUUCUUUAAAGUUUAAAUAGAAAUCAAUUCUAAAAGUUACAGUUUUAUGUAAUCUCUGUGUUUACUGUUCAAGGAUAUACCAUGGCAGUUUUACAAAUCUUAGAUGCCAUUGAUUGGAAGAAGCCUGAUUAUUUUAUACACUAUUGAGAAAAGAAAAAAAAUUGUCAGAUUAUGUUAAGCUCAUAUAGAUGGCUUCCUUGGAAUUUGCAUUUAAGCCUAGUUUCUCACUAAGAAUUUCUACCUUAAUAAAAGGAUUUCAGGCUUUAGCAGGCAUGUCACAAAGACUUUAUUUGGGUGUUAUCAUGGAAAAUCAAGUAAGCUCAACCCAUACCUGCCACUCCUUCCCAUCCAUGACGACGGCCAGCAUCCUCUUGCUUUCUCAGUCUAUCCAUCAAACCCAGGCUCUCACUGAGUGAAAAAAGAUUGUGAUCUUGCCUGAAAAAGUGAUUGAGACCUCAGUGAGAGAGUAGCAGCAGAAUAUUCCAUCUCUAGAAAUGUGGUGGAUCCUGAGAUUCAUGAUGAAAUUUUCUAGUCCAGGCUACAUCUUCCGUCCUCUCCCUUAAAGAGGAAGCUGGAGACACGCCAUUUUGGUGGACUGCAUUUGCCUUCCUGGAGAAAAACAAACAUCACCAUCAUUUAGUGUCUUUUGUCAACUAUCCAGAGUGCACAAGAUCCUGCCAAUGUUGCCUGAUCCUAAAAAAUUCAUUUUCUCUUUAUCAUCCUUCUUGAAUUGUGUGGAGAUCUGGAGAUUGUAAAUUCAACAGUGACAUGAAAUAAAUAAGGGAGAAGGUUAUUAUUAGAGCUCCUUCUACUCAGAAAAGGAGCCUUUGGAGUUAUUGCCGUCAUUAUUUCAAGGAAUUGCAUACCCUAGCAUCUCUGUGCUGUGGCAGGGAGGGAGUGGGGAUUUUUCAGAGGCCGCCCCACUCCACCAUCAGGGCCACAUUCCCAUUUCCAGCAUCCCCCAACUGGAGUUACCAUGCUCUGUUUAAAUAUCUCUAGGAGGGAAAACAGCAGGAAUAAUGCUCACCUUUCCUUACACACAACUUCCACAGGAAAAGGAGAAGAAAGAAUGAUGGCAUGGGGGUCACAGACGGUUAUGCUGGCUUAUUCCUCUCAGACUGUUUUCAUGCUCAGAAGUGAGGGAGCAUCUUUAAGCAUCCAAACAAAUCCAAAGUACAUCUAUCCUUCAGGACGUGUGGUGUCUGCUUGGCAAGCUAAGUGUGAGUUCCCCUCCCUCAUCCUCAUCCUUAAAGGACUUUACUUCUCUUCCCACAUCUUCAGCUUCCUCCCCAAAGCCAGGUCCAGUCUGUCAGAUGAAGCAACAGAUAGCCCUUAAGAAGACAGACCUCACAGAGAAAGGAGUGAGCUGAUUCACCAAUGAACAUGAAAUUCUGAGACCAUGUGAAUCCAUCAUCUUUGAUUGACAGUGAAUCCAUUUCCUAAAGAAAAAGCAGCUCUGGGCACCAAGACCCAACACCGCCUGGGAUCUAAUGAGCAAGGCUAAGGAGCAAACCCAGGAAGUCCACUGCAGCCUUGAGCUGAGUUCUUGCACCUUAGUACUCAGGACUCUAACCACCAGGUUACUACCUUUAGCCGUUUGCACAUAGUUUGCUGCUGACGUGGAGCAACACCUCUAAUGAAGAGUGUCAAGAACUGGGCACCGCCUGGUUCUUUCAGCAUGCCCAUAGUUAGUGACAAUGGUCACUUAUUUUCCUCCUGGGCCUAGGACUCUCUCAUGUAGACUGUGUGGCUGAAAAGAAGUUAAAUGAAGGACUGUGAAGAGUAGAGCUCUGAAAUGAAACCUCAGGGAUCUGCUUACACUCUCAGCCCACCUUCCAAGUUCCCCCCUCCCAUUUUCACCUGUUCUUUCAUCUGUGAUGGCUACCUUGAAAGUAAGGGUUAAUGUUUCAUCUCCCUCUCAAUCUCCCAACUCUUAACACUGUGCUAUGCACAGAGGAAGUGCUCCAUAAAAGCUGGGCAAAAUUAAAUGCAUAGAAUCAAGGAGUAUCUUAGAUUUAUAAACUAGCAGGUAUGGCCAUUCUAUCUGGGUUCUCAGAAAUCCCAGAUCUUAUCUUGUCACUCUUCUCACUAAAAAUCUCAUUUUUCCUUUGUCUUCAUUUUAAUACUCUAAGCUUCUUGACUUGAUAAUCAAUCCACACACAUUCUUGCCCCAAUUUGCUUGUCCGGGUGUCUUAGUUAUCGUAACUCAGGUUAUCGUUAACAAAAUACCAUUGACUAGGUGGCUUAAACAACAAAAGUUUAUUUCUUUCAGUUCUAGAGGCUAGAAAGUCCAAGCUCAAGGCAGUACAAGGUAGGUUUCAGUCUGCAGCCUCUUCUCUUGCCUCAUGGGUGGCUGCCAUCUCACUGUGUACUCACAUGAUCUCUUCUUUGUUUGCAUGCAGAGAAAGAGAGAGAGAGAGAGAGACAGUACUUUAGUGUGUCUUCUCAUAAGGGUGCUAUUCCCAUGUGAGCGCCCCACCCUCAUGAUCUCAUUUAACCUUAAUUACCUCCCAAAGCAACAUUUCCAAAUACUAUCACAUUAGGGGUGGGGUAGGGCUUCAAUAUAUGAAUUUUGACAGGACAAAAACAUUCUGUGCAAGACAUCAGGCACAUAGGCUAACAACAUCAUUCGUCUCCACCAUCCUCUUUACUUUAUUAUGCCCAUGCCUUUGUGAAGCCAGUCCAUCUCCGGAGAGCAAUUACUUCAGUCUGCCCAGCAACGACAAGGACAUGAAGUGCUUGAGGUUGGAGAACACAUCAGAUAUGCAGAAGCCAAGAAGUCAGGGCCUUGCAGAGGGACUCACAGACAGAGACCAGUUUGAGCCUGUAAGGAUGUGUUUUCAGUUCCCUCAUGCUGUUUAGGAAAAAGUCGCAGAUGUAGAGAAAGAGCUGGUUCUGCCCUCAGGCUGUGAUAAUUAAUGUCCUGUCUACUAAUGCAAAAUGAGGUCUUGGCCAGCCUUUCCUCUCAGGAAGCUUACUUGGCAGCCUUCCAAGCCUCUUGUAGUGUCUCCAAACUGAGGUCCACACAGUCCUGUAAUUGAGGGCAAAUGAUGCAAGGCAGGCUUGUACCUGAUGGCUAUUUGCAGGACGCCCACUCUUAGAUCAUGAAGGGCUUUGUCUUUCUCUUUAAUAUCAAGUUGCAGUGCAACAAGCACAGACAUUGAACUCAGACAGACUGUUCAACCCCCCAGCUCCAGCAAUCAAAAGCUGUGCAAUAUUUGACAAAUAAAUUUAUCCCUAUAUGUCUCUGUACUAUUUUCUGCAAAAACAGGUAAAUAAUAUCUAACAAAUGAAAUAAUUUGUUUUAAACACUUAGUCUGUAGCAGCACAUCCAUGGCACACACACACAAAAAUUGUUGGGAAACUUUUAAUACCUUCUUUUCUCCAUUCUCACUUUGUCUUGUGAGAAAGUAGGUGUAUAAUAAAUAUUUGUUGAAUAAGGAGCAAUGGAAUUGGGGUUGGGGAUAGGACUAUAACAAGAACUGGUUUGGGGCCGGCUCCCUGGCCGAGUGGUUAAGUUCACGUGCUCCGCUGUGGCGGCCCAGAGUUCGGAUCCUGGGCGCGGACAUGGCACCGCUCAUCAGGCCACGUUGAGGUGGCGUCCCACAUCCCACAACUAGAAGGACCUGCAGCUAAGAUAUACAACUGUGUACGGGGGAGUUUGGGGAGAUAAAGCAGGAAAAAAAAAAAAAAAAGAUUGGCAUCAGUUGUUAG